Molecule: ribosomal RNA, 582 nt
Filed under: Triticum aestivum (bread wheat)
Lineage: Eukaryota; Viridiplantae; Streptophyta; Magnoliopsida; Poales; Poaceae
Description: partial small subunit ribosomal RNA
Source: RNAcentral
AUGAGCUGUUUUCAACUGUCAAAGAAAAAGUGUUGGAACCUGACUUCUAUCUCCUCUAACUUCUGGUGGGGAUUAGCUCAUGGUGAGAACAAGGUGCACUGGGUGGCCUGGGACAAAAUGUGCUUGUCAAAGCGAGAGGGGGGUAUGGGUUUUCGGAAUUUUUAAGUGUUCAACCAGGCUUUGUUGGGCAAGCAAGCAUGGAGAAUUAUGCAAUUCCCGGACUCGCUUUAUGCUAGGGUUCUGAAGGCAAGAUAUUUCAAAGACUCUUCAAUUAUGAAUGCUACGUGCCCAUCAAACGAAUCCUUCAUGUUCCGGAGCAUCCUACAUGGUCGGGACCUGCUGCGGGAAGGAGCUGUGUGGCGGAUUGGAGAUGGCUCCAAGGUACAUAUUCACCACGACAAUUGGAUUCCCCGAAGGAGCUGCUUGCGGCCACUGGGCCAAACUUUCAUCCAGGGGACGACUCGCGUGGCCGAUCUGCUGUCACCUGAUGGAAACUCAUGGAACGAGACAAAGGUUGACGCAAUGUUCACCCCAAGUGAUGAUGCUGACAUCAAGCAAAUCCCGAUAGGAGCCAGGGUGUAG